UCUCCGUAGGUGAACCUGCGGAAGGAUCAUUAUUGUGUAACCGAGGUGCGAGGGCUGUCGCUGACCCGAAAGGUCGUGCACGCCCGAGUGCCCUCACACACAUCCAUCUCACCCCUAUGUGCACCACCGCGUGGGUCCCCCUUUGGCUUGUUCGGAGGGGGGCUUACGUUUUCACACAAACUUUGUAUGCAGUGUAGAAUGUAUUUUUUGUUUUUGCGAUCACGCAAUCAAUACAACUUUCAACAACGGAUCUCUUGGCUCUC
This 263-nucleotide unclassified non-coding RNA is filed under the name plant metagenome. RNAcentral describes it as "partial contains small subunit ribosomal RNA, internal transcribed spacer 1, and 5.8S ribosomal RNA". The record is from RNAcentral.